UUAUUUAUUAUUAUUUUUAUUUAUUUUUUAUUUAUUUUUUUUAUUUUUUUUCGUUUUUUUUUUAAAAUAAAGUUUCUUGGAUCUAAUUCUGAUUGACUUGAUGAAAUGCAAUAUGAAAUGCUAAAUGAAUGCAUGAAUGAGGAGGGCAAAUUUUGGGGUGUUACACCGAGGAUUGCCAAAAAGCUUUUGACAGUAUUAAAGAGUAUUUGUCUGAGCCUCUAGUUCUCUCUCCGCCUAUUGAAGAGACACCAUUG
RNAcentral lists this long non-coding RNA (254 nucleotides) under Lathyrus oleraceus (garden pea). RNAcentral's name for it is "Pisum sativum (pea) long non-coding RNA (PSAT_LNC030206)". Lineage: Eukaryota; Viridiplantae; Streptophyta; Magnoliopsida; Fabales; Fabaceae. The record is from RNAcentral.